UACGUAGGGUGCAAGCGUUGUCCGGAAUUAUUGGGCGUAAAGAGCUUGUAGGCGGUUUGUCGCGUCUGCUGUGAAAUUUCGGGGCUCAACCCCGAACUUGCAGUGGGUACGGGCAGACUAGAGUGUGGUAGGGGAGACUGGAAUUCCUGGUGUAGCGGUGAAAUGCGCAGAUAUCAGGAGGAGCACCGGUGGCGAAGGCGGGUCUCUGGGCCGAUACUGACGCUGAGGAGCGAAAGCGUGGGGAGCGAACAGG
This 253-nucleotide ribosomal RNA is filed under the name uncultured bacterium. RNAcentral describes it as "partial 16S ribosomal RNA". It matches the Rfam family "Bacterial small subunit ribosomal RNA", at positions 524 to 776 of the family's 1533-position model. The record is from RNAcentral.